UAAAACUAUAUGUGGCUAAGGAGGUGUUACAAAUUGAAUACAUCAUAGAAGAUUGGGAGAUCGGAUUAUUAGUGAUUUAUUGAUGAUAUGGUUGAUGAUAUUGUUGAUGAUGAUGUUCUACUAAAUUAGAUAUAAACAUAUGAUAGACAAUUGAAUAAAGAAAAUUAUUUUGAUAAAAAAAUAUAUAGACGUAUGAUAGACAGUUUAUUAUAUCUCAUUGUAACUAGACCUGAUAAAAUAUUUAGUGUUGGGCUUUGUAUAAGAUUUCAAGAUAAUUUUAAAUAAUCUCACUUUAAAACAAUAAAAAGAAUUUUUAGGUACAGGAACAUCAUUUCUAGGAUUAUGAUAUCCUAGAUCUAAUAACUUUGAUUUGAUUAUUUAUACUAAUACUGACUUUGUAUAAUAUAGAAUAGAGAGAAAAAGUAUAUUUGGAACUCGUCAAUUCCUAGAUCAUGCACUUGUUUCUUGAUCAUCAAAGAAACAAAACUCUAUCACACUAUCUACAACUAAAGCUAAAUAUGUUACGGUAUGUGCAUGUUUUGUAUAGGUAAUUUGGAUGAAUAACACUUUAGAAGAUUAUGGACUUUACUUAAAAAUCAUCUAUCUAAAAUGAUAAUACUAAUUCAAUUUGUUUGACAAAGAAUCAUAUAUAACACUUUAGGACUAAGCACAUUCAUAUUAAAUAUCAUUUUAUUAGGGAUCAAUUGAUGAAACUAAUGAUAAGUUUAUUGGACUAAAUAUGUUUUUAAGAUAAGUGAUACAAGAAAUACUUCAAGAUUGAUGCUUGCAUGAGAUGUUUCUUAGUAGUCACAUGCCUAAGACAAUCCAAGCUAAGGCCAUGAAAGUGCAACACGCUUGUGAUAUCCAUUCAUAAAAGGAUCAAUUGCAUUCUCCUAGGGACCCACAUGGAGAAUCAGUGGGUUAGUGAACGUGAAUGCAUAGGCAAACUAAUCAUCACUCUCUCAAGCAUAAACUUGGAAAAGCACAACAAUAUUAACACAAACACUUUAUGAAUAAUGCAAUACAAAAAUAGACUUCAUAAAUUCAAAACAACAUGACAAGUGAGUGCACAUGCUACAUUGGUAGUUGAGCAAUACGAUGACCCAUCCUUAAAUAUUACCUGAUAUGGUUGAUAUUUCGAGUGACAUCUCUAUUCAAGUAGAUCCCAACAAGUUACGAUCUAGGGGCUUCAUUUUUUUAAUAAAAAUGGUUUUUCCUUGACCACGAGCUAUGAUUACAGGACAUAAAAUCCAAUAAAACCCAACCAACAUGGAGUUGUCUAACCAAAUAUAAGCCACUUACAUAUUAUCUAAGAUAUGUAUAAAUUGAAAGCAUGAACAUUACGUUAAACACAUUUGCUAUAAAUAACCCGUAACAAUACAAAUGCAUCUCUAUUGGCUUAUAUGGUUUAUGUAACCUUGAUGUAUCUCAAGGUUUCUCCUUGGGCCAUUUCAAGAAUCGCUCAAAAUAUAUAAAGCUUCAACUGAAACCAAACAAUAGCACGAGAAAACAGAAAUAAAGGCCACUACUACUAAAUGCAUUUAUUAGUCUUAGGUGGUGCACCCAAACCAAAUAAAGAUCUAGUGCAUAUUGUUUCUGUACUUUGUAUAGUAAACUCUAAUCUUGUGGGUUUAAUCCACUGACACAUGCUCUAAUCUCCAAGUUAUACUCCAAAAAAAAGAAGAAAAUAUGACAUUAAAUAAAGAUACUGAACAAUUAUUAAAUUUUGGGCAGUUUAAUUUAUUUAUUAACUUAUAAAAAUUAAGUUAGGGAUACAGGAAGCAAUACUCAUCAAUAUAUAUAGUCAACAUAAUAUGUAGACUCACUUCAAUGUGGUGAUGUUAUAAUAGAACAAAAUAAGAAAAAUACUAUUGAAUUUGCAUCACUAUAAAUUUUGAGGUGCAGAGAAGCCUUGCCAAACUUAGUAUUUUAAGCUACCUAUCUCGGCCAUAUUAUUGUAAUUUAACACUACGUACUGACAAGGUGACCAUAGCCGAUUCUGCUUCAACAUAUCGAUCAUCACAGUCUCUCCUGUCUUCAUGUCGUGACAACACAACAUUGCCUUCCUCCCCAUAGAAAAUAAUGUCAGAUCCAUGAAUACCUUAUCACCCCCACAGAAUGGUAGAAGUGAAAAAGAGUCAAUGUCCCUAAUGUUCAAAAAAUCUAAAACAUGGUACCUCUUAACCCAUUCUCCAUCCUUACUCAUCAUCCAUAUGAAAAUUGAAUUAUUUUUCAUAAAUAGAGUGCUUGUCAAAAUCUCUUCAUCAGUUACCCCGAUACAUUGACAAUAAACAUCAUCAUAAUAUAUUGGAAUGUCUUCAUAUUCUAUUGGCGACAUCAUGCUGCCUGAGAUAUUUUUAUCAAGGUCAAACCAUAUUAUGUAGGGAAAAUAGUUCCAAUAUAUGAUGCCUCUAGCGUACAACACAUUCCACCGAUACCUAUUGAACUCAUCUUUGAUAACAAGCUUCUGAUCAGAAAUUAUCCAUUUCCCUAUGUCCGAAGAGUAUAUCUUGAACUCAAUCUCAGUAAAUUCUAGUUCAUUGUCUUCUACUAGUUUUAUUAGUCUAUAACGGGUCGAAGUAGUUGAUGGUUCAAAGGCCAGGCCAAUAUUCUCAUAAACUUGAACUUGACUUUCAGGGAUGGCAUGACCCUCUUUUGUCACUGGAUUCCACACAUAAUGGAAGGUGCUCUCGUCUUCAUACAUGUACCAUUCGUUUUCGUUUUGUUCCUCCCAUCUUGUCAACAAUAACAAGAGGAGGCCAUUGGCAGAGGCAGCAAUAUACGCGGAACAUCCAGCAAUAUACGCAGAACAUCCAUCAGGAAGGGAGAAAGACAACUUAGUUUCACAAACGUCAUGUUGCCCAAUAAGGUUGACGGGCAUAAAGUCAAUAUUGUGAUCACAUAUCCACACAAAGCCAGGCAACCCACAACGGCGUGAGCGUUGGUGUGCGAAUGUAGGAUCAUGGUUGAUGAGAUGAUGCCAUUUCUUAUUGACGGACUUGAACUUGAAGAGAGCCUUAUUGGUAAGCCAUGGGAGAAUUUCCAAAUGAAUGAUGUCUUCGGGUAUCGUUGCCACUAUAGCGACCAUGUUUCUCUAUCAAGUAAGAGAAAAUAAUUAAUAGGUAAAUGUUAUAAGCCAAAGAAUAAAAAAAAAUCAAAAAGAAAAAACCAUCAAACAUUCAAAAAAAUGAACAUAUUGCUAGAUAUACUCCAAUCAAUAAAAUUUGUCACAACUCAAAACCAAGGAUGUGAUGAUUCAACAAAUGCGUAACCACAGAAUUUUAAAUAUUUAAACCCAAAUCAUACAGGUGGAAAAUUACAUUUAUUUCAAUUGACCUUAUCACACAACUAUAAUUGAAAUAAUAGCAGUGAAAGAUAUUGCAUAACAGCAGCGCUUAAUAAGAAGGGGUUGGGUUUCAUUAGUUGAGCUAGGAAGGUUACAACUAGAUUAGACUAAACAGGACUUAGGUCUGAAAUUUCAUGUCUUUUCUAUCCCCAUGUACAUCAAAUGCAGAGUUAUGCUUGUGCAUGAAUAUGACAUCACAAUCCAUCAAAAGAAAAUAAUUUGUUUCAAAAAAUCUUCAUUAAUUUCUUAAUCAAAAUCCAUCAAGAUUUCACCUUAAAUUGAUAGAAAAAUAUAAGUACAUGAAACCCAUUAAAAAAAUAAAUACUGAAAUAACAAAUCAAAAGAACCUGAAAGCACAUUUAUGUAGUCUUAAAGUGAAUUCUCAUUCCUUCAUCUACGAAUUAGCAAAGAUUUCUACUCAUUUUUUAAGUAGUAUUAUACCUCAUGCGAGCACAUUAGUAGAGAAACUUGAUGUACUGAACCAAAAAGCUGAACAAAAUUAAACAACAUAAUAUCUAUUGGGCUGAUUAAGACUAUUUAUAAUAUAAAAAUAUCUUAAAAGACACCUUAAAAUGAUUUUGUUCCAAGGGACACGUUCCUUCAAUAAGGUGAUUAUUGUAAUUACAUAGAACUAAUUUACAUUUUUUUAAUUUUCAGAAAACCUCCAUCAUAAGAAGCAUACCUUCAAAAUGGAGUGUGUAGUAUAUAUAGGAAAAACAGAUGGGACGCUCCCUAGAGGAAAGUCAUACUAGACAAUUAAAUUAUAUAUUUAUUAUAUAUAGGAAAGAAAAAAAUCCCAUCAAUAUGUUCUCCUCUAAAAAAUCUCAUAUUUAGAAAACGACAUAACUUCCAAAAUAGUUCCCAAACCAAAUUAUCAUUAGUUGCAUGUUAUGAGAAAAAGAAAACUGAAAGAGUAAUUGCAGAAUACUACAGUAAAUCAUACACAAAAAUUAAAAAAAAUAAAAGCAAAAACUAGCUUUAAAAUGGGAUAAAUUUUAACAUGUAUUUUUUAUAAAGAUAAUGUCAAGUGUGGUUGUCUGUUACUGAGGGAUGAAGCCUAUCAAAUGAAGCUUGAAUCCAAUGUUUGAUGUACUCAGGAAUCACAGCAAGCAUUAUUGAUAUGAUCACAUUGGGUGAUUGGAUAAGGAAAAUUUUGAUUCCGACCCCUAGAAACCUAGUGUUAGAGGUAUACCGAGAGCUCCUGUUAUAAAACUAUAUGUGGCUAAGGAGGUGUUACAAAUUGAAUCCAUCAUAGACGAUUGGGAGAUGGGAUUAUUAGUGAUUUAUUGAUGAUAUGGUUGAUGAUGAUGUUCUAGUGUCAACUAGAUGAUGUUUUUAAAAGUAAAAAUAAAAAAAUUAUUGCUGAAACUGAUACGAAAUAGUCCCUCAAAGCAAAUUCAAAGAUCCAAGUACAAACGAUAACAUUUUCUCCAAAGACUAUAGAGCUUGUUGGCUCUAGCAUGCGUAGACAAUCAAUUAGCUACAUACCUUCCUCCAUGAAAUACAUACGAGAUUUUAUAAUAAUGCAUGAUAGACAAUAAAUACAAAAUGUUCAUAAUAAUAUUCAAAAUUAGCCAUGGGACAGAAGGUUGUUUACUAAUGAUAUCCACCUUCAUCAUAUAGACUGUCUCGAUACGAACUCGAUGGAGACCAUCCUAAUAAGCUAAUAAGAUAACUUUUGCCUCAUAAACUAUUGUCCUACUUCUUCAAAUACUCUUAGAAAAACAACAAAAGCAUUAUCGUGUCUAUCAGUGUCUAGCAAUGAAGUCAAUACUGCAAUUACAAUUUAAUUUGAUCCAACGAAAAGCUAGUUUUUCCCAUUUAACAAGGAAGGACAACGACUAACAUUUCUCACAAAUUCAUUUUGGUUCAUCAUAUCAUGAAUUUAUGAGACAAUUUUGAAAAAUAAACCAAAAAUAGAUUAUAUCAAAUUAUUAAAAAUAGAAUCAUUGGAGCCCUCAAUAAGACCAUAAAUUUGUAGCAAUAAAAGAUAUUUGUCAAGAAGCCUCAAAAUCUGGCAGAAGUAAACCCACAUUAAUCUAAAGGCCAGCUAGCCAAUAAUCAAAAAGAUGAAAAUGUAAACCAAGUCAAUUCUCACAAAGAGACUAAAAAGCCAAGUGAGUUAGAAUAAUGAAACAACACAUGUUCAGUAUAUUCUAAAUCAAUAUUACAAAAAGUGCAUAGCUUGCACUCACAAAU
RNAcentral lists this long non-coding RNA (5545 nucleotides) under Musa acuminata (dwarf banana). RNAcentral's name for it is "long non-coding RNA (MACU_LNC001796)". The record is from RNAcentral. Lineage: Eukaryota; Viridiplantae; Streptophyta; Magnoliopsida; Zingiberales; Musaceae.